GGUUCGAUUAUGGCUCAGAUUGAACGCUGGCGGAUGCUACGUGCAAGUCGAACGGCAGCACGGACUUCAGUCUGGUGGCGAGUGGCGGGCGGUGAUAUCGUGUCGGAACGUGCCUAGUAGCGGGGAUAACUACGCCAGCGUAGCUAGCGCCACAUGCGCCCAACUUCGAGGAAAGCGGGGAGCGCUGAACUCGCUCGCUGAAACUGACCGAUAUCCGGAUUAGCUAGUUGGUGGGAAGUAACGGCUCACGCCGACGACGAUCCGUAGCUGGUUUGAGAGGACGACCAGCCACACUGGGACUGAGACACGGCCCAGACUCCUUCCCCAGAGGCAGCAGUGAGGAAUUUUGGACAAUGGGAAACCUGAAUCAGCAUCCCGCGUGUGCGAUGAAGGCCUUCAGGUUGUAAACACUUUGGCAGGAAAAAACGGCACGGGAUAAUACCGAUACAACUGACGAAAUACCUGCAGAAUAAGCACCGGCUAACUACGUACCAGCAGCCGCGGUAAUACGUAGGGUGCAAGCGUUAAUCGGAAUUACUGGGCGUAAGCGAUGCAGGCGGUUCCGGAAAGAAGAUGUGAAAUCCCAGGCUUAACUUUGGAACUGCAUUUAUACCGAGCUAGAGUGUGUCAGAAAGGGAGGUGGAAUUCCGCGUGUAGCAGUGAAAUGCGUAGAUAUGCGGAGGAACACCGAUGGCGAAGGCAGCCUCCUGGGAUAACACUGACGCUCAUGCACGAAAACAGCAGGAGCAAACGGGAUUAAAGAUACCUGAUAGUCCACCUCAAACGUCAACUAGCUGUUGGGGCCUUCGGGCCUUGGUAGCAGCUAACACGUGAAGUUGACCGCCUGGGGAGUACGACCAUAAGAUUAAAACUCAAAAGAAAUUGACGGGGACCCGCACAAGCGGUGGAUGAUGUGGUUAAUUCGAUGCAACGCGAAAAACCUUACCUACCCUUGACAUGUCUGGAAUCCCGAAAGAGAGAUUUGGGGUAUAUAGAGAACCGGAACACAGGUGCUGCAUGGCUGUAAAUACGACUCAAUAUCAGCUGAGAUGUUGAGUUAAAUUCGCAACGAGCGCAACCCUUGUCAUUAGUUGCUACGAAGGGCACUCUAAUGAGACUGCCAGUGACAAACCGGAGGAAGGUGGGGAUGACGUCAGGUCUCCUCAUAGCCCUUAUGGGUAGGGCUUCACACGUCAUACAAUGGUCGGGACAGAGGGUCGCCAGCCCGCACGAGGAGCCAAUCCCGACCCGAUCGUAGUCCGGAUCACCAGUCUGCAACUCGACUGCGUGAAGUCGGAAUCGCUGGUAAUCGCGGAUCAGCAUGUCGCGGUGAAUACGUUCCAGAUUAACAUACACACCGCCCGUCACACCAUGGGUGGGUUUUACCAGAAGUAGUUAGCCUAACCGUAAGGAGGGCGAUUACCACGGUAGGAUUCAUGACUGGGGUGAAGUCAUAUAAAGAUAA
This 1465-nucleotide ribosomal RNA is filed under the name uncultured Bordetella sp. Its description in RNAcentral is "partial 16S-23S ribosomal RNA intergenic spacer". It matches the Rfam family "Bacterial small subunit ribosomal RNA". Lineage: Bacteria; Pseudomonadati; Pseudomonadota; Betaproteobacteria; Burkholderiales; Alcaligenaceae. The record is from RNAcentral.